CCUACGGGAGGCAGCAGUGAGGAAUCUUGGUCAAUGGACGAGAGUCUGAUCCAGCCACGUAGCGUGAAGGAUGACUGCCCUAUGGGUUGUAAACUUCUUUUAUAUGGGAAUAAAACAGGGUAUGCAUACCCUCAUGUAUGUACCAUAUGAAAAAGGAUAGGCUAACUCCGUGCCAGCAGCCGCGGUAAUACGGAGGAUCCGAGCGUUAUCCGGAUUUAUUGGGCUUAAAGGGAGCGUAGGUGGAUUGUUAAGUCAGUUGUGAAAGUUUGCGGCUCAACCGUAAAAUUGCAGUUGAAACGGGCAGUCUUGAGUACAGUAGAGGUGGGCGGAAUUCGUGGUGUAGCGGUGAAAUGCUUAGAUAUCACGAAGAACUCCGAUUGCGAAGGCAGCUCACUGGACUGCAACUGACACUGAUGCUCGAAAGUGUGGGUAUCAAACAGGAUUAGAUACCCGAGUAGUC
RNAcentral lists this ribosomal RNA (460 nucleotides) under uncultured bacterium. RNAcentral's name for it is "partial 16S ribosomal RNA". It matches the Rfam family "Bacterial small subunit ribosomal RNA", at positions 338 to 795 of the family's 1533-position model. The record is from RNAcentral.